Molecule: long non-coding RNA, 474 nt
Organism: Ochotona curzoniae (black-lipped pika)
Lineage: Eukaryota; Metazoa; Chordata; Mammalia; Lagomorpha; Ochotonidae
Exons: 3
Source: RefSeq, a predicted model, not a curated record
AAAGUGUACAGUGCAGACACAGUUGAGCAGGCAGUACAUUUGGUGAUGGGUGUGCUCAGGCCUCUGUAGGACGCAGGGGGCAAAGAAGAGCUCAACUCUAGCCCUGGUUUUGCUCAACACACGGUGCCCAGUGUGGGCCACGGUAGCCUAGAGGAAGGGGAACUUGUCGAAUUGCUCCACCCAGAAGGUGAUGCUUACAGCAGCCCUGUACGCACACAGGCACACACACACAUACACACACUGUAGGAGUGUACAUCUCUCUCCCUGAGUCCUGCGAGUCCUGGCUGCCUGACUGGAACUGAGGAGCCCCUCUUGAUGUCAUCUUGGCUGCUCACGGUGCAACCUUUCUUGGGUUUUCAGCUGUAAUAUCCAAGGCAGUGAUUCGUGGACUUGUGCAGUCGAACCAGGCCGCAGACCAGCUGAGCUGUUGUCCAGCCUGUGUGGUGAGUCACACGUGGUAUAAGCUAUCUACUA